RNAcentral lists this ribosomal RNA (353 nucleotides) under uncultured bacterium. Its description in RNAcentral is "partial 16S ribosomal RNA". It matches the Rfam family "Bacterial small subunit ribosomal RNA", at positions 338 to 688 of the family's 1533-position model. The record is from RNAcentral.
CCUACGGGAGGCAGCAGUGAGGAAUAUUGGUCAAUGGACGAGAGUCUGAACCAGCCAAGUCGCGUGAAGGAUGACUGUCCUAUGGGUUGUAAACUUCUUUUAUAUGGGAAUAAAAUGCUCCAAGUGUGGGAUUUUGCAUGUACCAUAUGAAUAAGGAUCGGCUAACUCCGUGCCAGCAGCCGCGGUAUUACGGAGGGUGCUAGCGUUAUCCGGAUUUUUUGGGUUUAAAGGGGGCCUAGGUGGAAUGUUAAGGCAGUUUUGAAAAUUUGCGGCUCAACCGUGAAAUUGCAGUUGAAAUUGGCAGUCUUGAGUACAGGAGAGGGUGGCGGAAUUCGUGGGGUAGCGGUUGAAUG